AUACGUAGGUGGCAAGCGUUGUCCGGAAUUAUUGGGCGUAAAGCGCAUGUAGGCGGUUUGGUAAGUCGGUCGUGAAAAUGCGGUGCUUAACGCCGUAUGGCGAUUGAAACUGCUGAACUUGAGUGCAGGAGAGGAAAGGGGAACUCCCAGUGUAGCGGUGAAAUGCGUAGAUAUUGGGAAGAACACCGGUGGCGAAGGCGCCUUUCUGGACUGUGGCUGACGCUCAGAUGCGAAAGCCAGGGUAGCGAACGGGAUUAGAUACCCCGGUAGUCCUGGCCGUAAACGAUGGGUACUAGGUGUGGGAGGUAUCGACUCCUUCCGUGCCGGAGUUAACGCAAUAAGUACCCCGCCUGGGGAGUACGGCCGCAAGGCUUAAACUCAAAUGAAUUGACGGGG
Molecule: ribosomal RNA, 396 nt
Filed under: uncultured bacterium
Lineage: Bacteria
Description: partial 16S ribosomal RNA
Rfam family: Bacterial small subunit ribosomal RNA
Source: RNAcentral